RNAcentral lists this ribosomal RNA (468 nucleotides) under uncultured bacterium. Its description in RNAcentral is "partial 16S ribosomal RNA". It matches the Rfam family "Bacterial small subunit ribosomal RNA", at positions 28 to 507 of the family's 1533-position model. The record is from RNAcentral.
GACGAACGCUGGCGGCGUGCUUAACACAUGCAAGUCGAACGGAAAGGCCCUGCUUUUGUGGGGUGCUCGAGUGGCGAACGGGUGAGUAACACGUGAGUAACCUGCCCUUGACUUUGGGAUAACUUCAGGAAACUGGGGCUAAUACCGGAUAGGAGCUCCUGCUGCAUGGUGGGGGUUGGAAAGUUUCGGCGGUUGGGGAUGGACUCGCGGCUUAUCAGCUUGUUGGUGGGGUAGUGGCUUACCAAGGCUUUGACGGGUAGCCGGCCUGAGAGGGUGACCGGCCACAUUGGGACUGAGAUACGGCCCAGACUCCUACGGGAGGCAGCAGUGGGGAAUAUUGCACAAUGGGCGGAAGCCUGAUGCAGCAACGCCGCGUGCGGGAUGUCGGCCUUCGGGUUGUAAACCGCUUUCGCCUGUGACGAAGCGUGAGUGACGGUAAUGGGUAAAGAAGCACCGGCUAACUACGUG